This 460-nucleotide ribosomal RNA is filed under the name uncultured bacterium. RNAcentral describes it as "partial 16S ribosomal RNA". It matches the Rfam family "Bacterial small subunit ribosomal RNA", at positions 338 to 795 of the family's 1533-position model. The record is from RNAcentral.
CCUACGGGAGGCUGCAGUGAGGAAUAUUGGUCAAUGGCCGUAAGUCUGAACCAGCCAAGUCGCGUGCAGGAAGACGGCUCUAUGGGUUGUAAACUUCUUUUGUACGGGGGUAAAGCCAGCUACGUGUAGCGGGUUGAAAGUAUCCUACGAAUAAGGAUCGGCUAACUCCGUGCCAGCAGCCGCGGUAAUACGGAGGAUCCGAGCGUUAUCCGGAUUUAUUGGGUUUAAAGGGUGCGUAGGUGGUUUGAUAAGUUAGGGGUGAAAGUUCGGGGCUCAACCCUGAAACUGCCUUUAAUACUGGUGGACUAGAGUGUGUUUGAGGUAGGCGGAAUGUGUGGUGUAGCGGUGAAAUGCUUAGAGAUCAUGCAGAACACCGAUUGCGAAGGCAGCUUACCAAACUAUAACUGACGCUGAAGCACGAAAGCGUGGGUAGCAAACAGGAUUAGAUACCCCGGUAGUC